CUUUUGACAAGGUUGCAAUGGUAGCUUUAAAUUCUUGCCUGGUUAUAUUAGUAUUUUAAAGUGUGGGGCUGUGUUUUUCAGAGAGGAAGGCAAGGAAACGGCAUCGUCAGAAUGACCUGGGAGGGAUUAGGAGGCGAUUAUUGAUGAAGGCAUCCACGACACCAGGACAGGUCUGUGGAGAAUUUCCCAAGGUGCUCCAAGGCUACCUUCUCUGUCCGAAGAAGUGGAUGCAGCUGAACAACUGCUCCUCUACUUCUGCUGCCUCAGACACCCAACUGAGAUGUCCUGAAGGACCCGAUUUACCAGCUGAAAAUCCCGUACCUGAAAAUCAGAGGUUUUAAAGCACAUCAAAGAUGCGAGCCCCAAGAUCUGGAUCAUAAAACAUUCUGGGCAACAAGAGGAACUCAAGCAAUGAUGUCAGCAGAGAGAGAAAUGAACCAAUGGCGAUACAAGUUUGAGAGAUGAAGCUGAGACUUUCAGUUUGUAGAGAAGAACACACUGAUUUUCUCAGAGUCUUCCCUGCAGUAGCUCUGGCUGGCAAGGUAACAUCUGCAGCCCCAGACAGGACAAUCAGUAACUGGCCACGUCCCUAUUCUUUUUCAUUUCACAUCUAGGUUUUUUUGGUUUCUUUGCUUCUUGGCAGAAAUACCUGCUAGAUAUCAGCAGUUUUUUCCAGCUAUAAAAUCCCAACAUUUCAGAAGGCAUUUUUGUUCUAAAUCAAGUUUAAACAUAAAAUGCUCUUCCUUCUCUCUCCUCAGAAAUGCAUAAUGAGAAUAACCAAAUUGGAUGGUCUCGACUACAUCAAAUCAUUUGUUUCAACAGCGCCUUAAUGCUCCAUUUCCAUAAGGUACACACACUUUUCUUCUAGAAUAAUAACGCAUUAUACCAGCAAAUAUUAAAAACAUCGCUGAAACGUAUUAUUAAAAUUAAUAUUUGAUAUUAUC
RNAcentral lists this long non-coding RNA (944 nucleotides) under Calidris pugnax (ruff). RNAcentral's name for it is "lncRNA (ENSCPUG00000002880.1)". Lineage: Eukaryota; Metazoa; Chordata; Aves; Charadriiformes; Scolopacidae. The record is from RNAcentral.